AAAAAAAAAAAAAAUCCAUACCAAUGUGACACGUUGCUGCAAGAAUUAUUGAAAAAUUGAUAUCGUUCUUGGCACAAUCGAUUGGAGCUGAAUCGAAGGAUGCUAAAUAUAAAAAGAAGUCAGCAGUCGCAUCCUGUUUAUUGUUUAUUAGCCCUCAUCAAUCUGAGUAAAAAGCUUACCCUUUUCAUGCAGUUAAUUAAUUAAAGGAACUUUUCCCAUUUCCAAACUUGCUCAUCGACCGUUACUUGCGAGCCCAUGAGGGAUUUGAAUUAUACUGCAAGUGUCGUACGUGGAAUAAUGAUUGUUAUUAAAGUAUAAUAAAGAAGGGGAGGAGGGAAAGAUUAAUGGCAGCGUUUGAGCUUUUUUUUUUUUUAACGAGGCGACAAGAGGAAGGACUAAAGCUGGGGAGAUUAAUUAACUAAUUGUGGUGGCUUCUUUAAGUAAUAGUUUUGAUAAGAUAAGGUGCAAGUGAUAUGAGUGGAAGAGUAUGGGUGCCAUGAUUUAGUUCGUUGUUUGUGAAAGCUGACUAAUAAUGACAAGUAACCGUACUGGUUGUGUGUUCAUUUGCAUCAGAGAUGGAAUCAUACGUGAGGUUUCAGAAAUGAAGCAGGUAUUAGUAGAGGCUGAGGUUUCAAAAUGUUUUUGACUUGUAUACUUUUUAUAAAUAUUUAAAAUUAUUUUAUAUAAUUACAGAUAAAAAGAUUAUUUGCUUAGUCUUGUAAAUUUAUUAUUUAUAUGUAUAUUUUUUUCGCCGCUAUAUAUCUAAUAGUAGGAAUAAACGAGAUGGUUGAAAUUGAAGUAACUGAAAUAUCUUUAACUUAAUAAAAUAAAUGUAANNNNNNNNNNNNNNNNNNNNNNNNNNNNNNNNNNNNNNNNNNNNNNNNNNNNNNNNNNNNNNNNNNNNNNNNNNNNNNNNNNNNNNNNNNNNNNNNNNNNNNNNNNNNNNNNNNNNNNNNNNNNNNNNNNNNNNNNNNNNNNNNNNNNNNNNNNNNNNNNNNNNNNNNNNNNNNNNNNNNNNNNNNNNNNNNNNNNNNNNNNNNNNNNNNNNNNNNNNNNNNNNNNNNNNNNNNNNNNNNNNNNNNNNNNNNNNNNNNNNNNNNNNNNNNNNNNNNNNNNNNNNNNNNNNNNNNNNNNNNNNNNNNNNNNNNNNNNNNNNNNNNNNNNNNNNNNNNNNNNNNNNNNNNNNNNNNNNNNNNNNNNNNNNNNNNNNNNNNNNNNNNNNNNNNNNNNNNNNNNNNNNNNNNNNNNNNNNNNNNNNNNNNNNNNNNNNNNNNNNNNNNNNNNNNNNNNNNNNNNNNNNNNNNNNNNNNNNNNNNNNNNNNNNNNNNNNNNNNNNNNNNNNNNNNNNNNNNNNNNNNNNNNNNNNNNNNNNNNNNNNAUUGGACUUUUUUUGUUAUUGUCUUUAUUUUAUCUCAUGCUUAAGAUUUAGAGAUUAAUAUUGUAAUAAUGGUUAUUAUAAUUAUUAUAUUUUAAAUAUUAGAUAAUAUCAAAUCAUAUAUUGCAGAAUAAAUAGUAGUUGUUUUAAAGGUCAAUACUAUUCUUAAUGAAAAUCCAUUCCUACAUCAACUCUGUUAUUGAAACCUUAUAAGAAAUUUUAUAGGACAAAGGGUUCUUUUAGAUAUCUCGACAACCAAUGCACCGAAUAUAUGAUGGAUAUUGAAAAAGUUGGUCAGAAUUAACAUUGGAGUGGAAGAGUUUCCAAGAGAAACUUUAGUUUUUAGAAUUUCAAAAAAAAUAAAGAUACUGAAGACCACCUUUUAGAAAGAAUCGAUCAUCGAUCGACAAAAUGAAAGAAACCAUUAUAUCAUCAAUCAACAAAAUGAAAGAAUCCAUUAUCCUUAUAUUUUUUGAUUUUCUAAUCAGCAAGUUUUAAUUGCUUCAGUCUCGCUCCACCAUCAUGAUCUCUAUCUCUUAAAUGGCAAUGCAUUACUCAUAUUAGGAUAGAUUGUUGGGGCAUCCAACCAAGCCCUAAAUGGCAAUGUAUUACUCAUAUGGAAAAGAUUUAUUAUGUGCACACGAAAAGUGUAUCAAACCUUUAGAUGUUGAUUUUAAACUCUCUAAUCAAUCUUUUUAUGAUUGGCAACUAAUCCUCUAAGUUGCAUCAAUCCCCUCAUGCCACAUGGCAAGAAAAUUGUUUAUGUGCAUGUAAUAGAAAUCCUUUAAUAUCACUCAUAUUUAUUUUUCUUUCUUUCAUUCAUCAUAUAUUUAUAAAUGAGGGCCAGAAUUUCAGGUAUUUGAAGUGACAAUCUAGCUUAUGGGACUAGAAUCAAAUGAAUUUGGAGACCUCUAAGUUUUCUUUCAAUUGUGAUAUCAUAUUUUUCCUUUAGCAUAUUUAAGAGAUUCUUAUUUUUUUACUGCCUAGAUUUUAAUCUUGGCCAGAUUCCUUGAUUAAGAUCUUGGUUUGUAUCAAUAUCAGGCACUCCAAUACGGUAUACGCGAACAUCUCAAUCCUAUUAUUGUAUAUUCAUCUGGCCAAAUCUUUCGAUCAAUAGUUUUUAUUUUCUUAAAUAAAUUAUUAACUAACAAAUUAUGAAAUUGAUGUUUAAGUAUAGUUUUUAACCUUGAACUUUUAUCCUAUGAGUCUAGAUUUCGAAAUCACGGUUCAAAAAUAUAGGUGGAUAUCUUGGAAAGUCUCAAUUCCCUCCAAAUUUUUUCAUUAGCCAUGUGAGCCGAGAUAAACUGAGAUAAUUAAUAAUAUGGAGAUUUGAAAACCUUGAGCAGUAGAUUAUCUUAAUUUACCAACUCCAAGAGUAAUUAAUCCAAAGCAUAUUCCUUUUCUUUCCUCCUGAGUUCAAUUCAAUCCAUGAAAUGUCCUUCUCGGCAGGACGAAUGCAUUCAACUCAGCCAUGAUGCAUCCUCCUUGGAAUCCCCCAUUUUAGAGGCACAAAAGAAACAGUGUUUUCCACUUUGAGUCACCUGGGCUUGUCCUUUGCAAUGAUGCGCUACGGAGCGUCAGUCUUUUGCUUUAUUCUCUGGCUCUCCAGCACUAAAUGUUUUUGAACUGUGGAGCAUAUUUUUACGUCCAACUUUGUCUGCUUAUAGCUGGACAGUGAAAGCUGGACAAUGGAAUUCCACGGCAAGCUUACGGCCUCAUGCUUGCAAGGAAGCCAAUUUACUAUGGCUUCAGUUGGAUCAUUCUUCCUCAAUUUGUUGGUUAUCAUUGGAUUUUCUUCCUUACUUUGUUGGAUAUCUUUGGACUGAAAGGUUCAAAGAUGCUGCAGUUCAUAGUAUUUACUGUGAGGGAUGGGUUAAAACAACAUCACGCAUGACCCUCCAGAUUUCCAGGAUAACCCCAAAAGUUCUAGCAACUUUUACCAAUCUACAAACUCUCUCUUGUACACCAAGGUAGAAAAAUAAUGCUCAUCGAUAUGUGAUCUUAAUGAGUCCACUUUAUGGUUAUUCUCUGAUGUUCCCGGAUCGCCACUAAGAUUUCUACUUCGCACCAAUUUCAUCCUAAAAUCCAUUGUUUGGUUGCACUGCGGCUAGAGUAACCCUUCUCCACUGGUCAUUAGAGUGCAAUCUCAAGCCAAGUUCAGACAAAUUCUUCCCAAUGUUGGAGUGAUUUAUCGCCCAUUACAGAGAUGUUGAUGGUUGGACUUUUGAGGAAGCCAGAUCCAGGAGAAAAUCCUACCAUUUGUCAUAGAGUUACAUACCAUGAAGCCUUGAAGUCCUGUCCAUUACCACUUAGCAUGGUACAGCUGCUGCUUUCCAGCAGAAAGCACUCCUAUUGUUGUCCUUGUUGAUAAUUACAGGUCAGUCGCAUUUUCUCAACCACCAAUAAUUGCUUCAUCUGUUGGAGCCCUUCUGAUAUGAGAACCCAGAUACCAGACAAAUAUGGAUGAAAUAAUAGUCCCUGUUGGGCAAAACUGUUGGCAGUAGAGCUUUCAAUAGUAAAAUUUUUUGAAAUAAAAUUUUUAUAAAAAAUUAUUUACUAUUUGAUAACUACAUUUCUAAAAAUGCUGUGAAACUCUAAUAUAUAUUUGAUAAACAAAUUUAAAAAAAACUUUUGGCAUUGGACAUUACAUAAUAUCAUACAACAUAGUAUAAUAAAAUAUAAUAUAUAUUAAUAUAUAAAUAUAUAGUAUAGUAGAAUAUUACUGUAAUGUAAUAUAAUAUUGUAUACUAUAGCAUAAUAAUAUAACAUAAUUUGGUAUUAUAUAACAUAAUAUAUCAAUGUAUUAUGAUAUAAUGUAAUAUAAUAUUAUAUUUAUAAUAUAAUACAAUAAUAGAAAUAUAAAAAAUUAUAAUAAUUAUUAUUAUAUAUUAAUAUUAUAUUUUUUGUAAUUGUUGUUGGCAGUAAAGCUUUUAAAAAUAAAAUUUUUAUAAAAAAAUAUUUACUAUUCGAUAACUAUAUUUCUAAAAUACUAUAAAACUUUAAUGUAUAUUUGUAACCAAAAUAAAAAAUACUUUUGGUAUGAUGAAAUGACAAUAAAGUAUAUUGCAUAGUAUUGCAUAGUAAAGUAUAAUACAAUAUAAUAUUACAUAUUAUUUCAUAUUAAAAUAUUAUUAUUUUGUAUAAAAUUAUUAUAAUAUAGUACAAUAUAAUAUUGGGUACUAUAGCAUAAUAAUACAGCAUAAUAUGAUAUGAUAUAAUAUAAUAAUAUAUUAUUAACAAUAUUACUAUAAUGUAAUAUAAUAUAAUAUAAUAUAAUAAUAUUGUAAUGUAAUAUAACAAUAUCAUAUAAUAUAACAAAUUAGAAUCCAAUCUAAUAAUAGAUUAUAUUAUAUUAUAGGAUAAUAAUAAUAUAUCAUGAUUAUAAUAUAAUCAUGUAAUAGAAUAUAAUAUAAUGUAAUAUAAUCUAUUAUAUUAUCUUAUUAAUUAUUAAUAGUAUAAUAUAGUAUUAUUAUAUAAGAAUAUAUUAUAUUAUAAUUACAUAUUACUACAAUAAUGUAAUAUAUUAUGCUAUCAUAAUGUAAUGUAAUAUAAUAUACUAUUUUAUUAAUUUAUUAUUAUAUUAUAUUACAUUAUAUUUAUAGUAUGAUAAUAUAUUAUAUAUAAUAUGAUAUAAUAUAAGUAUAAUCGUAGGAUUUAUUGGUGGGCAUUUUGAUCAUCAGAAAAAAAAAUAUUAAAAUCAAAAUAGCUUCCUAACAUUGGGAUAUCCGGUCCAUAAAUAGAUCUGUCACCUGGGAAUUGGUCAUUAUCCCCCUUCGGCCUGUGGCCUCGUCUCCCUCGGAGGGAUUUACUUAUUCGCACAAAAAAUACUUUUGAAAAAAAGCCCCAAAAUAGAGUUUUUUUUCUAAAUAGACGUUUUUAGUUUUCUGACAAAGCCAAAACAACUUUAUAAUUUUUACCAAAUACCACUGUAUCCUCUAAAAAUAUUUUUAGAGGGCCAGAAAGUGCUUUCUAACCCACCAAAAAAAAAUUUGCCAAAUGGAGCCUAAGAAACAUAGAAAAGUAAUACCCAGAUAAGCAAUGAGAAUCCACCAAAUCCUUGCUAAUCUCCUCAAGUUGUGCUCAAUCUCAUAAUAAGAGAGAGAGAGAGAGAGAGAGAGAGAGAGAGAGAUCUCAGAACUCGUUGAGAAAAUUAAAUCUCACAUACUAGCUAUAGUUCCUCUAUGAAGCCACAUCCUCCUUAUUUGAGAGCAAACUUGAAUCGAACUAGUUCAACAUACAAACUACCAGAUAUUCUAUCGCACUAAAUAUCAGACAAAUACAUUGUUCCCAAUCUCUGAACACAAACUUGAGAACGCAUGUCAAGCUACUACCCAAAUUGAAUUGAUUUGCAGGUGAACAAAUUUUUGGCAUUUGGGCACUUUAUGUCUCUAUUGUAACUUAGCUGUGAUACUGCUUUUCAGAACAUGAAAACUAUAAAAGCAGAGGGAUCCAGGUUAGAUUUGUGACGCACUUUGAUAUACUCCAUAGCAAAACUGACCAAAAAUCUCUGCAGAAGCUGAUUAUGGUGCAUCACUCAUGAAGGGUGGUGUUGUGGAGCCAACCACAGUUUCACUUUUUUGUCAGCACCAGCUGUGGCUAAAACCAUAGUGGGUCCACCACCUGCAAAAGUUGGCAGGAAACAGUGAUAUAAGCAAUCCAGUGUACCAAUAAGUAAACGUGGUUAGACCUAUUAAAUGCUACUGUAUAUAACAGCGGUCUGGUGGUAAAUACUACAACACUCUCGUAACUAGGCAAAGUUUAUUCAUGAUGUAUCUUUGGUUGUAUCUGGGGUGCUCAUCAAGAGGAACCAAGUUGGACAAACUAAUCUGACCUUGGGUUCUGUCACAUUUUGGAGCUACUGAUUCAAGAAAUACUUGAGCAAUUAAAUCAAGUGGCCAGGUUUAUGGGUUGUCAACAUCAAUUUGAUCUAACAAUGACAAGCCAAUAGCCUGAGUUAUGAGCUGUCAAGAUUCACUCAAACCAACAACUGCAUGCUACAGCCUGUUUAAGUGCACAAAGAAAACCAUAAGAUUUUACAGAAUAUGGGCUUUCGGAUGUUUUCCUAAACCAUAGGGUAAAUAAUUCCUAAUUGGCUUUUCGGAUAUCUAGUCAUAGCCCAGAAAAAAAAUAGUAAUUCUGCAGUUCCAUAAGAAUUAAAGAAAAAACCGGUGGGUCCCAAUUUUCCCCCACAACUUGUAUGCACAAGUCCACAAUGCCCAUGGCCUCUUCUUCAAGAUCUCUUCCAAGUUCUACCACACUUUCCACCUUUUCUGUUCCUUCUGAAGCCCUGCCACGCUUUGCUGAUACAGAAGUUUACAAUUCCAAAUGCAAGCAAUUGGAAUUGCAAGCAGCUAAUGAAGCUACUUGGUUGCUUGCAAUUCAAUUGCAAAAAAAAGGGCCCAAAAAGUUGCAUUUAGUACUGUAGGUUAAAAACAACCACAAUAACAGUUGACUCAGGUUGCAAAUCCUAUCCCACCUAUCUUGUAUCCUCACAGCCUCUCACUAGCUUAAUUUAAACUAUAAUUUAAUAUAUGUAACUAUAUAAAAUGAUUUUAUAACAAUCUAUUACAUCAACAACUAUUUUUAUAAUAUCAUAACAAUCAUUUAACAAUAAGAUUACAAUUUUUAUUAUAAUUAUCACAAUAAUAGGACUUAUGAUAUUAUAACAUUUCUAUUUUAAUCAUAAAAAUAAUAUUAUUAUUUUUUACUUUAAAAGGAUCACAAUAUAAUGAUUUUUAGAAUAACAUGAUUAUUGCUACAGUUAUUUAUAUUAAUAAUAAUAAUAUUUUUAUAAUAUUGUAACCUUUUAGUAAUGUUUUAUAUUUUAUCUCUACUAUCAAAUAUGAUUAUAAUCAUUUAAUAAUAUAUAAUAUACUAAUAUAAUAUGUAUUAGAAUUCAUUAUUAUAUACAUUAUAAUAAUGCAAUUAUUGUUAUCGUACUUUACUAUUAUAUAAUUACUACAACUACAAUCAUAUAAUUUAAUUAAAUAUUUCAUAAAUAUCAUAACAAUAGUUUAACAAUAAGAUUACAAAUUUUAUUAUAAUUAUCACAAUAAUAGGACUUAUGAUAUUAUAAGAUUUUUAUUUUGAAUUAUAAAAAUAAUAAUAAUAUUUUUACAUUAAAAUGAUCGCUAUAUAAUGAUUUUUAGAAUAACAUGAUUAUUGUUACAGUUAUUUAUAUUAGUAAUAAUAAAAUUUCUAUAAUAUUGUAAUUUUGUCGUAAUAUUUAAUAUUUUAAUAUCUAUUAUCAAAUAUGAUUAUAAUCAUUUAAUAAUAUAUAAUAUACUAAUAUAAUAUGUAUUGUAUUUAAUUAUUAUAUAAUAAUAUAAUUGUCGUCAUUAUAAUAAUGCAAUUAUUGUUAUUAUACUUUUACUAUUAUAUGAUUACUAUAACUACAAAACAAUUAUACAAACAAACAAUAUCAUAUAAUUUAAUUAAAUAUUUCAUAAGAUAUUUUGUAUAAUUUAUUGUCAUAUUUUAUAUAAUAGUUGAAAUAUUAUUAUAUACUGCUACAUAACAAUAUCUUAAGAACUUACUCAUUAAUUUCAAUAUAUUAUUAUAUUUAUUAUACACCAUUGCCAUGUAAUAAAUAAUGAUAUUAUAAUUAUUAAUUUAUAUUUAAUAUUAUUAUACUAUAUAUUUUUUGAGAAAAAUUAUAUAUUAUAUAACAUUAGAAGAAGCUAAUAGAUGGCCAUCUAUUAUUCAAACAUAACAAUGAAAAAAGAAAGUAGUUCACCACUUUUGAAGGGGUAAACUUAUCUGAUUAUUUGCGAGGUUACUACACCUCUUUUUGCACCAUACUACCAAAUAGCUGUAAGAAGCAUUUGAAAUUGCUAAUCAUGACAACCGAACAUAUUUUUUGCAUUUGCAUUUCUAAUUGUAGCAAUUCCAAUUGCAAUUGCAUUUUCUAUUGCAACAAUUGGAAUUGUAGGCAACCAAAUGGCCUCUAAACACACCGCCCUAGCUGCCCCUCCAUCAAUACGGUAUAAAUGUAUACAUGCAUACAUAUCUAUGGAUACAUGCGUACGUAUGGAUGCAUAUACAUACAUAUAUAUACAUAUAUAUAUAUAUAUAUAAUUUUAUAUACAUAAAUAUGUGUAUAUGUACCUGUAGAGAGAUAUAUAUAUAUAAGUAUAUAUAUAUAUAUAUAUGUAUGUAUAUAUAUAUAUAUAUAUAUAUAUAUAUNNNNNNNNNNNNNNNNNNNNNNNNNNNNNNNNNNNNNNNNNNNNNNNNNNNNNNNNNNNNNNNNNNNNNNNNNNNNNNNNNNNNNNNNNNNNNNNNNNNNNNNNNNNNNNNNNNNNNNNNNNNNNNNNNNNNNNNNNNNNNNNNNNNNNNNNNNNNNNNNNNNNNNNNNNNNNNNNNNNNNNNNNNNNNNNNNNNNNNNNNNNNNNNNNNNNNNNNNNNNNNNNNNNNNNNNNNNNNNNNNNNNNNNNNNNNNNNNNNNNNNNNNNNNNNNNNNNNNNNNNNNNNNNNNNNNNNNNNNNNNNNNNNNNNNNNNNNNNNNNNNNNNNNNNNNNNNNNNNNNNNNNNNNNAUAUAUGUACGUAUGUAUGUAUAUAAGGGGCAGUAAGGAUAGGAUAGCUUGGAUCAAGUGCAAAGACCACCAAUGGGAACAAGUGGAUUUAUGUAGAAAAUGGUGACUUGAAUAAAAUAUGGGAGGGGAUGCAGGGUGGAAGGCCAAGUGGAUCUUGCCCUGAAGGCCUUCCAGUAAAGAUGCUUGGAUGAGGUCGGAGAAGAUAAAGGUAGCAAUCUUAUAAAAACCAGAGGCUUGUUAACUAAAAGAUGGUGACUGUCUGCCCCUCCAUCAGGAAUUCUCUGUCAGUUCUGUAUCUCUGUGCUGAAUUAAGGUUUGAGGUGGGGUUAGGAGUGGACAUAAGGAGCAGCAAGGACUUGAUAGCAUGGAUCAAGUGCAAAGGCCAUCAAUGGGAACAAGUAGAAUUCUGUAGAAAAUGGUAGUUUGAAUAAAACAGGCGAGAGAAUGCAGGGCUGAAGGACAAAGUGGAUCUUGCACUGAAGGCCUUCCAAUAAAGAUUCCUAGAUGAGGUGGAAGAAGACAAAGGUAGCAAUCCUAAGAAAGACAGAGGCUUCUUAACUGAUAGAUGGUGGCUGUGCUGAAGGGGGACCUCAUUGGAGAUCCAAUGUUUAUGAAGCAUGAGCUAAGUUUCAGAUUGCUCCUAAGGCAUAGAAGAAGUGAUCCAUGCACCAUUUCAAGGAACAAAGAGAUGAUGGCAGGAUUGCUAAUGUCUAAACUUUCUUUUCGUGCUUGUUUGAAAUCAAGCUUGUCCUAAUGUUUUAAUCAUCCAGCGAGGCAUUACCCACAUAUCCAUCAGUAAAAUAGAGUUCCUUUACUCAGCUUAAAUGAUUUUUUUACUCUUUAAAUGUAUGCUUUCUUAACUCUAUGAUCCAUAUGAUGAAAAUUAGGUUAACUUUGAAGAAUAUUUACACAUGCACAUCAACAGGCUUCUAAUUGCUACUCUUGAUCAUAGUAAAUUUUCUGCGAACAAUUCACAAGAAUUAGCCAAACAGAAAACUAAGCAACGCCAAGUAAAUUUUAGGAUUCUUUAGUAGCAUCACUUCAAUCCCUUGGUUAAUCCUCUAGUAAUUUCCACCAUGCACCCAGGCAAGCCAUAAAGCAAUCAUAUAUCUAAAGGCAGAUAGAAAGCACCAGAGUCUUGAGAAGUUGCAGAAGUUGUAAAGAAAUCUGAAGAUUCUUACCCAUAGGAAUCAAUUGAGGAGCCCAAGCAAUGCCUGUGAUGUCACCUGCAUGAUGCGGUAAUCAACAUGAUAAGAAAGCAGGACAACAAAAUAACUCUUUAACAUGUCCUUCGAGCUAAUCAUCAUGCUCCAAGAGGUGGGAUACACACUAAAUUUGCAACAAAUGAGCCCAUCUACAUAUAAUUAUGAAUUAGAACUUAAUAUGGCCAUACCUUACAAAGGAAGGAGAUUAGCUAGCUCAUAUCAUAUGCAUUAUUAAGGAACAUUUGGAUUUUGGACCAUUCUGAAACUACGUGAUUCUCUUACAUGCUAAUGCAAGAUGCCUUACCUAAUAAAUAGAUAUAAUAAAAAGGGGUAAAGCGCAUAAAGAAGAGAUUAUAAAAAGAAUAAUCAACCCUUUUCGAUGUACUUCUAUGUUAGUUGUCAAAGGAUUCUGUGAUUGAAUGCCACGUUUCUUGAAGACCUUGCUCCUUUAUCUGCUCUUUUGUAUUCUCCAUGCGGUCUUAUUCUUCUACUUGGGCAUCCAAAUACCAUUUCUUUCAUUCAUCGUCCACUCUCUCUAUGACAAUUCGGACAAUGAGGAUGAAAAUGGGGAUUGGCUUGUCCAUCUCCUAUAGGUCGAACGAGCGCCCCAUCCUCUUCAAGAGAGAGUAAAGAGAGAGGUUUUAAAGCAAGGUUUGUUGUAUCGACCAUACUGUACUGUACCGGUACCGAACCGUUGUACGAUAUAGGGAAUGUACUGAUAUUUGGUAUGCCAAACCAAAUACCAUAUCGGGCGUACUGACUCUGCAUUAGGAUAGUACCAGUACGAGAUCUAGUACCGAGGUGGUGAACCUUGUUUCAAAGUGUUGAUGCUCGUGAGCUUGCCAAAGUCCACUAGUCAACAAGGCACAUGCCAUGCUGGCAAACAUGCCACAUCAUGGUGAAAUAUAAAAAAGAAAAAAAAUAGAUUUUUAAUUAACAGUGUUUAAUAAUAAAUUAGUAGGUGUUGUGCUAACCAGCGUUGGGUGCUGGUAUUGGCCCUUGCAUUGUCCAUGCUGGCCAGCAUGGACCAGCACUUGAACUUGAAACCAUGAUAUGAAGCAACUAAAUAUUAGCAAUAUCAUGUCUAAACCAUUCAGUUAAAGCAUCUUCAUAAUACAAUAAAAGAAAGGUCCAACAGAUGGCAUCCUUGCACGUGUGUAUGUGUAUGUAUUUCCUGUUUCUUCUGUUUAUAUUAUUUCUACAUGCCUUCAUUAGAGACAACCAACUUCUAGCAUUACACCUGACACAAUACAGCAUCAUUUGAUUAUUUUUGGUUGAAUUACAUAGGCAAAUACAUGAUAAUUAAACCUCAUAAAUCAAAACCAACAACAUGAACAAGAUUAGAUGAACAGAACAAUUAGGUAUAUGUCACAAUUUCAUAGUGGCACAUGGAACAAAUGCAAGAGAGGUCACCACCAAAUUUGUCGAUCACCACACUUAGGCUUCAAAAGUCCCAUGCAUGAACAAAACUAACCCUGUGUACCAAUAGAUAACCAUAAACCAUAUGAUUUUGCAUGCUGUCUAGGUAUGAAAGCCAAGGUUGAUGUUUUCCAAUGCCAGAUACAUUCUAAUUCAUCCAAAAGUAUAAUUUAAUACAGAUCUUCUAUUUUGUGUUCUUUUGAGCUAUACUUAGGAGUAGUUGUCACUAGAUCAUAAAGGUUCAAAGACCUCUAAAGCGCAACUAGUAAGGCUUGGUCAAACUCAUGAUAUGUGGCAGAAGGCUGUUGGCUGAGCAAAAAGCUAACUACUAACACAUAACAUUAUCUAAAUCAUGGAUAUCCAACAUAGUUGUUCUAAAGAACCCUACAAGUACCCACUACAUUCCAUCUUGCUAUGCUCUUUCAUUCCCCUCUCAAACCUCUUUGCCAUGACUUCCUAACCUCGACCAUCAUGGAAAGCAUCCAUUGCCUUAGACAUGACUAUCAUUUCCCCCCAUCACCACUAACCAUAUGAUCUAGUCAAAUUUAUCACAUUUAGCAAAAAAAGGAAAAAGGAAAAAGAAAGAAAAGAAAAUAUAUCAAGGGACAGCAAGAGUGUAAAAAUAUAGCCAAAUCAAGAAAUAUCCUGACCAGGCCUAGCAUGGUAACAAAACCUAACAAGGAAUCAGCUUUCCAAUUACAGGCUAUUCUUUUUGCUAUUGUUCUUUCUAUUUAACAAGGACCUCAACAAUUAGCAAAGCACAAUCAGUGAACCUCACACUAAGGCCAAUAUUACAGGUACCAUAUCAGUCAAUUUAAAAUAGAUAUCAACAAUUAAAAUUCAAAAAAAAAAGUCAGAGAAUGACUAAGCCACAAGAGAGUAAGGGCAUAUAAACUUCACGAACCUUCAUGUGCUUUAUCAGCUGUAUCCAAAACCCUCCCUGUUUCAGCACAUAACCAUUGCAAUGUUGAGCCACUAGUGACUGCCAGAAUUUUUCCACUGGGAGAGAUGCUAAUGCGGUCAUAGUGUGAAACAGAGCCUUUGGCAUCAUGAAGUGGAAUUGCAAACACUUUUAGGGUCUUCGGGUCCUCAUCAAGAUGAUAUCGAACUAAAGAGAUAGAACAAUCAGAAGCAAGGAGCAACAAAGUUAGAAAAACAGAAGUGUCUGCGUGAUCAUCAUUAAUGGUCAAGAUAAAUCAUAUGCAUAGUAUAUGAAAUGGGCUGCUGUUCUCAAUAGGAAAUGAUGCUUACAUAAUAUGAACAGGUUAUUGGAAAAGUCGAGAAUUCCAUUACCAUAAACAUCCAGCCUUUUCCAACUAUUUGGGUUGGCCUUAAAUAUCCGCAUUUACCAAUUAUUAGGAAUGAAAAUAUAAUCAAUAUAAGAAAGCAUACAAGUUAAGGUUGCAGGGAAAUUAUAUUAAGGCUUUAUCAUGAUACAGAGGACUCCAAUUACUCAACAAUCAAAGACAAAAAUUCAGUCUAAGUAGCUUCCUUGGUCUAUCAUACAGUAAUUUGUCGAUGUUGAACUAAAGAUAAAUAGACAUAUUAAAAUUUGAAAUUGUUGUUAAGAAAGUUCACAAUAUAAUCCAUAAAACAAAAUAUUGUUAAAAUAGCAACCAUUAUAACAAGUACAAAGGCCCCUCAUUACAUUUAAUGUAUGAAACAGCUAUUCAAAUUAUGGCUGUUAUUGAGCUGUUAUCCUAUUUUAAUUGUUGUCAUAUAGCAGGAAAAAUAGUCAUUAUUUGACAUUUUCACUGUCUGUCUGAUUAGAAAAUAUUUUAUUUUAAUUCAUAUUUCCAUGUUGGCAUGUCACCGCAAAAGUAAUAUUUUAUUCUAUGAUCAGUGACAUGAACAAAUAAUGCUGUUAUUUUGCAGCAGUUGCCCGUUAUCUCCCACUACAAUGGCUAAUAACAGCCAUAUUAUUUUAUUUUCAAAAAUUCCAGUCAAGGAUUGACUGAGCUAACAGUUGCUAUUUACAUUAUGACAUAGAAUUCAUGUUGAGGGAUAGCAGCAUGGUUCGCCAUACCAGCCAAUAUCGGACAGUUUGGCACGUACUGUAUCGGACAAUUCGGCACAUACCGCACCGUACUGGUUCGGUACCGGUAUCCAGUAUAGAUGGCGUAUCGACACUCGAUAUGCCGAAAAAAUUUCAUAUCAUACCGUACCGUACUGACAUGGUGCUAGUGUGGCACCAGUACAGGGUUCGGUAUUGAGACGGCAAACCUUGGAUAGCAGCAAUAUUGAAACCUUGGAAUGAAAAGCAUUCAAAUAUAGCAACUGCAAAUAUUCAAUGUUAUAGUAAUAUGAACAAAUUGGUAUUUGAUCUAGAUCAGCUAACUGAAGUGCAAAAGCUAUUUCAACUUUUGAGAUAGCAAAGGCAGUGAAAAGAUAAAGCUAAUAGAGCAGCAUUGCAAUCGCAAUCUAUUUCCUACAGUGCUCAAGUAAAGCAUUCAGUUAUCUUAUUUGAACAUACCAUUGAUAUUCCAUAUUCGUAAGGAACCAUCUUUUGAUGCCGUAAUUAUCUGCUCUGAAUUUGGAGUGAAACACAACCAAGUUACCGCGCUCUGAGAACAAAUCAAUGUCAUUUUAACAUGUAUCUUUUUAGUACUUUCUAGUAUCAAUCUGACUAAAAGGACCAAAUAAUGAAAAUUACAUAAAACAGUUGACAAAGAUAAACCAACAAAAUAACAGCCGCAAAAACACCAACAGUCACAAAUUGAACAUUGAAGAAAAUAAUGAAACUAACACGAGGUACCAAAGUGAAAUUAAACCUUUUAAGCCAAAAUAAAGUACAAAGCCAAGUUCCUAAGCAAGCUAUACCAGGAAAAAAAAGAUAUAAGAUCUUACGAAUCUUCAUUUUAGCUUUUGUAGUUAACCCUACUCAAAUUCAGAUAUGUUAUCAACUUACAGCAACUCAAAUUCUUGUUCCUCUACAUAAACCAUCACUACCAGACUAUAUUAGAGAUCUCAGUUCCAUGCAUUUAAUUCUACAUAUUCAACACAAAAUCUACAAGGGAAUCCAUCUUCCUUUUCAAAACUUCAAUGGAGUAAGGGCAAGACCAUAAUCAGCUCUCUUGUAUCAGCAAUGACUACCGACUUCACUUUAAAAAAAAUCAGAAAAAAAGGUUAAAUCCCCAAUUUUGUUUUAAAACAAGGGCUCUGCCCCCUAUUACAGCAUUGCAAAGGAGAGGAGGCUUCGAAAGCUCUCUCUCCCUCCCUCCAUCUCUCUCUCUUUCUCUUUGCUGCCCUCUCCCUCUCUCUCUCUUUUCCUCUCUCCUUUCCCUCUCCACCUCCCUUACCAGUUUCUCAAACUUAGGGGCAGAACCAUGUCGAUCCACCCCUAGUAUAGCUUGGUACGCCAAAAUCGGGCAAUUUGAGGCAGUAAAACCUUCCUUUAUAGUCUUCCUGCUCUAGAGAUUAGUUAAUUGGAAACGAGUUUCCUAAUCAAUUUAGAUUAUUCUAGAAAAUUUGUUCGGGAAAUAGAUUCACAUUCAUCUAAGAAAUGAAUCUGGAGACUCCAGCAUUCACACAGAGGAAGAGGAAACCGCUCCUUCCUACUGUAACCAUCGACCAUCCAUUGUUGUCAUUAAGGUCUGGAAUCUCAGUAAUGGACCAUUUACCGAUGCCCAAUCAUUACACCCGUAACCAAGUGUUGGUACAAUACAUACCGCGGUACCAACACUCUAUACAAGGGUCAUACCACUUUUACUACCCUACCAGUAUAGUACAAUAUGCUCUACACCAGGUGGUUGCAUCGUGUUUAUAAAUACCAAUACCAAUUAAUCAUUGUCCCAAAAUGGUAUGGCACUGGUAUGGUAUUUAUAUGGUCGGUGCCUACCAAGACCCUCAGAAUCAACAAAAAUGCAAAUCAACCGGUACAAAAUUGAUACAGCUUGUCAAUAUCGAUCCAUACAAACUAAUAUAGUUGGUACAUACCUAUCUAGUCGAUUUCAAUGUCCCAAGGGUGGUACUAGUGCCAAGUUCCAUCCAUCAUUGUUCAUGCAGAGAGAGAGAUGGGGAGUGACAAUAGAUGGGAUAAAAGAGGGUAAGGAUGGGGGAGUAGUUGUUGCGCCACCCUCCACUACCCAAAGUUGCAGCCAAUCACUACCAACACCCCUAUAUGUCUGUCUGCCAAUCGCCAUUAUUUAAACCCUAAAGGGAAAGGGAAAAGCAUGAGGCCUUCACUAUUAUGUGACUUAUAAUAUUAUACAUAUUCUAAUUUAAGAAUUAUAAGAUUUCCAUGCACCUCUUUAGUUUCAUCAUAUAAAGAAAAGGCAUUUCUAUUAGAAAAGAGGAGUCUAUUUAUCAACACUCACAUUGGGCAUAUAUCCAUUUUUUUUUCAAAUUAAGCUCCUUGAUUGAGCAAGUGAGAACCUAUUGCUUAGAAACUUCUUUCUAUACUUUUUCCAUAGUUUUGUUGCUUAUCUUACUAUAUAGUUUCCAAUUUCUAGCAUUAAGAACCUUUUUCAUAUAUGAUUUCCCAUAUCCCGCACUCAUGGUGAUUCCUAAACUCAUAUCCCUUGCUGGCAACGACACUCUUGAGAGAGAAUGGGGAAGAAAUAGAAUAAGCAUGCAAAAUAAGACUAGCAAUCCAGGUGAAAUCGAAUGUUUACAAAAGCAUUAGUACCAUCCACGUCUGAAACUUUCCUUUCUAGUGGAACAAUUACAAGCCUCAUGGUGGACAUUCAUCACCAACAAUAUCUUUUAACAUGUGACAGUUACACAAUCUUUGAUUAGCACUAAAAAUAUCUUCUUUCGCCAAUUGCAAAUGACCAUAAUGAUAAUAAAGAUAGUAGCAUUGUCCAUCCAUAGAUUGUAUUCGAUUGGCAUAAAUUCAUGCAAUCUUUUUGCAUAACAAAAGAAGGCUAAAUGCAUUCGCAUGUAACACAAUUUUGAGCAAGUUUUACCUUAUGACCCUUAGGCUAAAUGCAUUCGCAUGUAACACAAUUUUGAGCAAGUUUUACCUUAUGACCCUUAAGUUGCAUAACUUUCACAAUCUCCUUCACUGAACCAUCCUUGGAAUAGAUGAUCUCCCAAACCUGAAAGACAAAUGGAGCAAAAAGUUUUAAAAAAAAUUAUUAAUCAGCACUUAGAAGGUUGCUUUGACAAAGUCACAUUUCAAAGCAUCCAAAGAGGAUGUCAUGCAAGACUCCCCUAGAGAAAAAUGACAUUCCAGAAGACUUCCUUAACAAAGGGGAAAAAAAAGUUAGACUAUUGCAUUCUGGAAGGUGAAAACUCAAAAAUGUAUCAACACAAUUAAGAAACAGUACGAUGUCAAAAGGCACAUGAGAACAAAAUUAAGUAACAAGCAUAAUCAGAUCAAUCCUUAAUACUGUGUGUUUCAGCAACAUUAUGUAGUAGUCAACAUGACUAGAAAAUGGAAAAGAUAUUUGGUUUCAUGAUGUCUAUGAGAAAACUGGACAUGCCAAGGUAAUAUAGGGUUGCAAUAAUGAAUCAUUUCAGGUAGAACAUACUUAAUGUUCGCAACAGACAUUAAGAACAUAAAUUUCUAUAGAAUAAAACCAUAUUAGGUGCACUAUAAAUAGAAUAUCCCAUUGAAUCGUGAAGAGUUUAGAUUUUAGAAGCUCCCAUCCAGACGGAGGCAAUAUCUGCAUAUAAAUUCAUAGGCCUGAUAGGCUGAAACAGUAUAUAGCAAAAAAAAAUUGUGGAAUUUGACAUCCCACAAUCUAAGAACCCUCAAGAAUGUUUUGAGCCAAUGAAGAGACAACGAAGCCCAAAAUUACCUAUCAUGGGCCACCACCACAAGCUCCUAGAUAGGUUCCGGGCCACAUGAGCCAUUGCCCAAAGGAUGAGGGAGUUAGGCCCUAUUUGGAAUUGCUCUUGGUAGUAGAAUUUUUCUCAAUAAAGCUUUUGGAAGUAGAUUUUUUUUUUUGGCUAGUAGAGUUUUUAAUAAAAAGUUGUUUGCUAUUUGCUAAGAAAAUGCUUUUAGUAUGAGAAAAUGAUAAUAAAGGAUAUCACAUAGUACUUUUAAUUUUUUAACUCUUUGUACUAGAACUAUUAUUAUAAAAUAUUUUUAAUUUACAAAUUAUAUUACUUUGACUCAUGGUAUGCUGAACCAGCUUGUACCAGCCGGUUCAGCCCGGAUCGGUCCGAUCCCUGACUGGUCCAAUACAGCAGUGAAAAAUAGUUUCAGCCUCUAUGGGGCCGAAACCGAAUAGUACAGAGGGCAUACUGAUGCGAACAGGAUCAGUUCGCACCGGUACAAGCCCGGUACCGCCUUGUAUCGAUGCGAACCGAACCAAUUCACACCAAUACGCCUUCGGGCGCUCUGUGGCAUUUUUCAUGCCAUAGAGUGGCAUUAAAUGCCAUUCUGGCAGCGGCUGUAGCAUUUACUGCCACAGUGCAUUGCGUGCGCUGUUGCCAGUUCGGUACUGGUACCGAACCGGUACCGGUUCGGCGCACGUAGGCUUUUUUCAGCCUUUGAUGGGACAAUCAUCUGACUCUUUCUUCGGCGGGAGAACGCACUUUCUUUCUGUAUCUCUCGCAGAUCUCACGGAUAGAAUCAAACAAUUACUUUGGACAGUAUAAUAUUGAAAUAGUAAUAAUAUUAUAGUAUUAUAGUAUAAUAUUAUAGGAAUACAAUAAUGUUAUACUAUUAAAAUAUGAUUAUUAUGAUAUAAUAACGAUAGUAACAUAGUAUUUUCAUAAUAUUAGUAUAAUAUAAUAUAAUAUUCUAUACUAUAGUAUAAUAAUAUAAUAAUAUACUAUAAUAAUACUAUUAUAUUAUUAGAGUAGUAUAAUAAUAUGAUACAAUGUGAUAUAAUAUAAUAUAAUAAUCUAUUUAAAAAAUAAUAUACUAUUAUAUUAUUAAUAUAAUAUGAUAUGAUAUAACAUAACAUAACAUAAUACAAUGUAUCAAAUAUUAGUCAGUAAUUAUAAUAAAACAUUUUAAUAUAAAGUAUUACAAUUAUUAUUAACAUAUUUAAUAUAUUAUUAAACAAUAUAAUAUUAUUAUAAUAUAUGACAUGAUAUUAUUUUUUAGUAUAAUAAUAUAAUAGUAUUAUAUUAUAAUAUUAUUUUUACGUUAAUAUAAUAUAGUGUAAAUCUAAAAUUUAUAUAUUUUAAUUUAAUCUAAAUAUUAUAAUAAAUAAUGUAAUUAUUUUUGGUUAGAGGUAUUUUAGUCAUACAAACAACUUCUUAAUGGGUUUUAGAAAUAGCUUUUGUAGAGAAGCUCCAAAUUGAAACUUUUGCCAAGUAAAGAUUUUUCAGCUUCUGGGAGGAACAGAAAGUUGUUUUAGGUGUUUUUUACCAAACAACUAUAUAUCGCCUAGAAGCGCUUUUGGCCCCUCCAAAAGCAAACCCAAAAUAGGGCCUUAGACCAUCCUACAUGCCACCUUAAGCUAGAAAUCUAGGGUUGAAUGGUUCUUAGCUAUGAUGCUUCAAGGAUGCGAAGACACAAUAAGAACAGGACAUGACCCUUGAGGAACAACAAGUGAUGCACAAAAUAUUGGGCUCUCCAAAGAAUAAGAAGUGAUACUCAUUUAGUAAGGCUGCACAAGGCCAUAGGGCCUCAAAAUCCAGAGAGCUUGAUGGAAAAGAGGAAAAUCUGAAAGGUUCCUUGCCUAGGAGGUUGGGGACCAUGCAAAUCUCUAAUUUUUUUCCUUGAGCUUCUCUCUCUAUGAAUAUGCCACCAAGGUAAAACCUUUAAGCAACACUUUCUAUAACUUACAAGUAUUACAUUUUUAGACAACUUCCUUACCAUUAACUGUCUAUAUACAAAAACAAUAAUAAUAUAAAAUAAAUCCAAAUUUGAGAAGUCUUAAGGUUCCAUAUGAUAUCAAUCUUUAGCAACACAAUGAAACAUUUUGUUAAAAAAUAAAACAAUGUGCACCAGCAUCCUACAAUAAUUCAGUGCAACUCUUUUAGUAAAAAUCAAUGCAGCAGCAGCACCAUCAUGUACAACUCCACUAUCAUAACUAUUAAAAAAUAAAGAGGUAUAAGGAAAUUCAAAUAUAUGAAGAUGCAUUUUCAUAGCAGCAAAGGUCCAUUAAUCUUAUAGAAGCAGAAGCACCAUAUUGUAAAACUUCCAAAUCAUAACUACUAAAAAGUAUAGAGGUAAAUGGCAAUGAAAAUAUAUGCAUAUACAUUUCUAUAGCAGCAAAGGUAUGCUAAUUCUAUAUACUUUAUAUAUGACACCGCUAGUUCAAUAUAUUCUUUUUCUGAAUUUAAACAAUUUUGGUGAUUCAUGACUGAAAGAGGUCUCAAGUAUUGCUAAUAGGCCCUUUGGUUCAGUAGUCAAGGCACCAAAAUUUCAUGGGGAAGUUGCUUUUGUCUAUUGGUUAAAGUCUGCCUGAACUACUUCCUCUGGCGAUAAAAAAAGUACUUAGAAUUCAUGAAGAUCAGACCCACUUCCUAUAGUAAUGUAAUGUGGCACCACCAAGUCGUUAGGGCCGUACAAAGAAAACCAACCUUCACAUCUGCAGUAAAGGCUGCAGCAGCCAGAAAACGUCCAUUUGGCGAAACAGUAGCCAUGUUGUUUUUCAGCUGAUUCGUGUCAACAGUUCCCAAGUCUUUCCCGCUUUUACCAUGCCAAACUUUAAUAUCAGUCCCUGAAAUAGAAGGUGAUUGGUGAUUGCUAGAAACAAUUGUACAGCAGAAGCCUCUUAAGAGAAUGCUACAGGAAACUUCUCUUAUGACACAAUAAACACCAAAAUAUGCAUAUGUCCUGAAAGAAUUUUAACUCUUGCAGGCAAAGGAAAACAUGGUAAACUGAACUGCUCAUUGCAGAAGAUUCUUCGCAGCAAAUAAUUCAGUGGUUCCCACCAAACAGGUGAUUUUCUGAUGACUAGAGUAAGAAUGAAACUUAUUUGAGCUAUUAGACAAUAAUAAAGAUGCCAAGCAUCAAAAAACUAUAUCUUGCAAGACAGCAGCAAGUCACAUGAAGGACUGAAGAUAGUCGAACCAAGUUCAUUCACCAAAGGAGGCUAUUUGCAUAACUACUGUUUGAUCAAGGGAAGUAAUUUGCUGCACUCAAAUUUAGUGGAGAGAAUGAUGUUAGCCAAUUUUUUUCUUUUUCUCAUGGUCCUGAUUUUCAAAACUAUUAUUAGGACUGGUUGGUCUAGUAACUUGUAAACUCAUCAUUUGACUUUUCAUCAUGUAAAUAUUAAGUUGUCAUCUAAUUCUAAAACUAUCGUGCAACUACUUUAUAAGCAAUUUUUGUGUGAGUUUUAAGCAUGUCAACAGAUAGUUCUUUAGUUUAUGUGAGACUAGGGGUCCUAUUUUGUGUAAAAUGUAUCUAGGAGGUCCUUAGUUUAUUCAUAAAUUUGUUUCAAGAAGUUUCUAUUCACUAUAAGAAAAUUUGUGGUUAAUCUUGGAAUGCUUUCAUAAUCUUAUACUCUAUAUGACACGCUCUGAUGAUAUAUUUGGCUGGCAACAUUUUCUUUUUUAAUGAUCGACUUGGUGGAGGGACUUUGUUUCAAUAUGGCUAUGUAAUUUUUAAGUAACCUGCAAAAUUUAUUUUAUAUCUUAGUUGCACUAUUACAAUUCAAAUGUACCUAUUGGCCAGCUCUGUGCAAUUAGCCAUAAUUGCUUUUAACAUCAAAUUUUCAUUUUGUAUCUUGAAUUCUUUUUUGCUUCAUGGAGAGCCAAGAAUUCUUUUACCCAUGGUACGUCGUCUCGGUACCAGGCCCCACAUCGGUACCACCCUGUCAAUGUAUCAGUACGUCCGGUACGAGAGCCGGUUCAGCGUACCGAGUGUUGGUUUGUCCCUUAUACCAUAUAUCAACACCGAACCAGUAUUGUACAGUAUGCUCUGUAGCGCCCGUACGGUAUACUCUAUACUGCCCAGUUCGAUACGGUAUGAUGUACCGCUUUUACCACAUAUUUAUUGUUUAAGUGAUCUUAUCUAUUUCUCUUCAGGGCAUUUAGGAACUUUUCAUUGUUGUUGCAUUCAAAAUGCCUACCAUCCCCGACUGGAUAUUGCUUGAUAUUGAUAUACCAACAAAGCCUUGGCUAUCCAUCAACCAAGCUACAAAGACUUGACCCAAAAGCUUUUAGCUAGGAAGAAAUGGGUCAAUAUUAUACAUCAAACUUAGCUUCGAUACCUUCUUACCUUACUUCUUAGCAAAAGUUUAAGCCAUUAGGAAAUGUGUCGACAACGUAUAUCAGGCUUAACACUAUAAAUGUCUCCAUAUGACUAAAAUUGCAUUAAUACUAUCAAAUUAGACUCUUGAGCACUACCACAAUCUUCUAAGCUCAAGACACUUAACGCAAGUUCAACUAUUUGGCUAUCUCCAAACUUUCAAUAUUUUGACCUCAAAAAAUCAUGACAGGCAAACAAUUUUGCAUAUAAAAUUUAUAACAAUAGAAAGAUACGUAGACUAGCCAAUAGCCUACCAGUUAAAGUAAACUACCUUCAUGCUACAAUAACAUCAAAGUAAACUACAUUCAUGCUACAAUAACAUCAAAGAAAAAAGUCGUUGUAACAAUUUAGUAGAAGAUUAUAGACACUUUAAACAAAUAUUUUUAUUUGGAAAUAUAGUUGAAAAUUUAAGCAUUACCAAUUGUCAUAAGAUGUUAUUCACUAGGACACUCUAAUUAGAGUGCCAAGUAUCCAAACUCCUAGCUAAUAUAAGCAAGGCACUCUAUUCUUGGAGCAUCAUGCCAUGUCAUCCAAGUGUUCAAGAGUGUUGAAACUCUAAAAUUGGUAAAAUUUAAAGUGUUUAGGGUAACACACAGCAAAUUCAAUGUUCUUUGAUUUCCUCUGUUAUCUUACAAUUCCUCCCAACUUCAUUUAUAUGCAUGUUGUUUACCUUUAUAUUCUACAAGAACUUCUCUAAAUAAGAUAUGUAAGUAUAUAUUCAUAAGCACUUUUUUUCUUUUUUGAGGAGGGGGUUAAGCGAUGUGUUUCUCACUUGCAUACUCUCUUCCAUGUUUUCUCUUUCAAGUCAUCUUAACUACUUUCUUUACUUCUAUAUCAAUGUAUUAAAAAGCAGAAAGCAGUGACAUAGUAGUUGGGGAUUUCAUAGUGGAUAGUGAAUAAUGGGUACUAUAGUAGGCAAGAUUUUAAGUCCCGCUGGGACGGGGGGCAUCUCGACCGUUCCAUCCCAUUCCCGCGAGAAAAUAGGACCCAGACAAGGUCAGGACUCCAAAACCUAUCCAUGUGGGGAGAGAAGAAGAAAGAGAGAAGGAAGGAAAGAUGAAAAAUAGAAAAAAGUGAAAGGAAAGAAGAAGAAGAAAAAGGAUAGAAAGAAAGGGAGAAGAAAAAGAAAGAAAGGAAAGAGAAAGAAAAAGGAAACAAAAAAAGAAAUAAAGGGAUACAAAAAGAAAGAAAAUGGAAAGGAAAGAAAAGAAUGUAGAAGAAAAAGAAAAAAAGGAAGGAAAUAAAGAACAAAAGAAAGAAAGAGAACAAAGAAAGAAUGGAAAGAAGAGGAGAGGCACAGAAGAUAUCUACCCGGAUGCAUGAUCGGGACCACCGCCAGGAUGGGACGAGACAGCAGGACGUCCUAUUCCAUAGAGAAACUAGGACACUCCUGUCCCACGGGAUUUAAAACCUUAAUAGUAGGUGCUACAUAGCUAAAACAGGCUAUUAAGAUUUAUUAAUAUUUUCUUACUAAGUACCAAAAAGUAUUCAUGUUAUUCUGAUGCAAAAAGAAGCAAUGAAAAGAAUCAAGUGAAAAGCUAUAAAACAUCAUCCACAUAGCAUUAUCAUAUCAAGUCAACACACAUAUAAUGCAAAGAAUCAUAAUCUAAUGACAAAUAGCAUUAUCCGCCCAACAUAGUAGUAUCACUCAUAAGAUUAAAGUAUCGAGAAUCACAUAACUUCAACAAUCAAAUAAAUAUGUUAACAGUUAUAUAAAAUCAAUCAUAGAAGAAAGAUAUCCACAACCAUAUAACAUAAUUCAUCGAACAAAUUAUCAUUAUCAAUAGACAAUAAGACUCCAUUAGACUCUAGACAAGAACUCCAAAUGACAAAUUGAUGACCAACAAUUUCAAUAGAAAAUCAUCAUCUGACAGUUCUCGGAGGUCUGCUCCAUGAGCAUCAGAACUAAAGGUGUCCAAGUUUUUUAAAUAGAAACCGGUCUAGCAAACUAUGGAACAAAUCAGCCACUUUGAACCUGUAGCAUAGCAGAUGCUAUAGCCAGUUAUCACCCAAUAUAUUGGGCACUUCAUAUCCAAGCGUCAUAUAGCACUGCUAUGUUGUUUAGCCUGGCCCGAAACUGCUAUAGCAGCCACUGUAGUGCCUAUAGCAGCCAAUUACUAAAACAACAGUUUGUAUGCUCACUUAAUACCUUUUUGACAGUGUUUAGGACAUGGAAGGGUGGCAGCUGCAGAAAUUAGUUAGCACAAGUUACAUACCUCUGUAAUUUGGAGGGGCCUGCAAUAAGGAUUUUAACUCAUAAUGUCACUACAUUUCUAGAAAUACAAAUGUCUAUCCUCAAACUAGCAAAAAGUCCAUUUUGUAUGACAAAUGCUAUGUUAUUUACAUAAAUGAAGUAGAAAGCAAAACUAGUGUCAUGGACCUCAUGGUGGAAAGCUUUGGAGGUGAAAGGUCUAACAUAUAACAGAAAUAACACAGGGUACAUAGACUAGGUGCAAGGAUUGGCACCUAUUAACUUUGACAACAAGAAAUUUCCUCAGAGUACAUCUUUUUGCUAUCACCAAUCUAUGACAGGUGCAAGAAAAAUAGAUGCAAAAUUUGGCAGAUGAAGUAAAAUAGGCAUUAGGGAGUUUGUGUACAUAAACAUGUGCACACAUAGACACUUUAAAACCUAAUUAGCUCAAUCCUGGUUUUUAAAUGAAAGCUCCAAUGGUUUCCCCCUCAUUGAUGCAAAUUUACAGAAGAUACUUUAGAUGCUGAUGUAGGAUAAUCUAAUAGAUACAGUAAUCACAUUCGAGUCCAUUGUUCCCCACCUACACACAUUUCAUUCUCCAUUUCUAUCAAUUUGUCAUUAUCACCAACAUCAAACAUCCACAAAGAUAUACACACCUUCUGAGCAUGAAGCGAUGAUUGUACUCCCAUCCCCGUUUCCAUAUGUUGCACAAACCCCAACCAGGGUCAACACAGAGCUCUUAUCAUGGAUCUUCUGAUGCUCCCAUUUGAUCUCAGGGAGCGGAAGCUUGGCCUGCUGCUUGCUCUCACCAUUAGGCUUGGCAAAUACAUCUCCAUACAUGUAAAGAGAGGCACCAGAGAGGAGCUGAGCUGCCACUACCACAGAUGAAGCCUCCUCAGAGAAGGCAAUCGCCGUCGGGUGUGCCCCUGCCGGCAAGUUUAUCCUCAGUAGCCUGCAUUCAGAACUUCCAAAUGAUUAAAUGCAAAUAAAUUAUAGACGGCUGUAGACAAAGCGGUCAUUACAAAAUCCAUACUUGAAGCUUUUACUGGAAGCAUCAUCGAUCCUGAACACUCUGACAACUCCAUCAGCACAAGCUGCAAUAAAGAUUCAUAAUUUUAAGCAUUAUGAGUCCAAACAACAGAGCACGGCAUUGAAUUAUGGAUAGAUGAGAGAACGAUGAGCUCACCAGUUGCCAAAUUGCGGCCAUUGGAGGAGAAGCAGAGGGCAGUAACCGCAUCCCCAUGGCCCUUUAGCGUGUUAACAUCGAGAGCAUGGUGCUUUUUGUUCUGGUCCUGGAAUUUUUAAUAGAAAGAAAAAAGUUUUAGGUGGUGGAAACGAUCCAGGUGAUCAGGGAAAAGAUGGAAUCUGAGAAACCUUGUUGGUGUGGUGGGAGAGGGAUCUCGGCUGAGACUUUUUGGCGGCGGAGAGGGCGGGCUUCGGGGCCUUAUGGUCGGCGGUGCUCCGAUCGGGGGCGGCGGCCGCGGCGGCUAUCGUGGCGACUUCGGCCCGCUUUCGGCGGAAGUAGUCGGCGAAAAGGAGGAGGGCGAGGACGCCGCCCACGAUGGCGGAGAGGAGGGGCACGGAGGCGGCCGAGAAACCUAGGGACGCCGGAGACGGUGUCGGCAUCUUGCUUCUUCUAUGGAAAAGGGGAGAGAGGAAGAGGAAACGGGAGAUAAGGCUGCAAAUGGGUCGGGUGGACCCAUGACCCGACCCAGCCCCACCCAUUUAGACCUGAUCCAAUCCGAUUUAAAGAGCCCAUUCCGGAUUUGGGUUUACUAAAUUCUAACCUGAUCCAGCCCGUUUGACCCAACCCAACCCGAAUUCGGAAAACCCAUUAGGCCCGUAAGAGCGAUGCAUGGGCCGUGAUCCAUCCACGUGACCCGUUCGUGCACUGCGACCUGUUCCUUCGUAAACCGUGACCUGCUCGCUCUCAAUAACUUUAAAAUCGCAAAUACGAAAGAAAAGUCUAAAAUCCUCCAUUUGUUCUCCAUUGCUAUUGGGCAUCUCUCUCUAUCUCUCUCCCAUUAGAGUGCUCUCUCUCAUCGACAAUCGGCCAUUGCGACUGUGACUACUCCUUCUCCCUCUUGUGCAAACCCGCUCAUGAGUGGCGACGCCACCCCGGUAGUAUGAUGUGGGCCUCGCUGGCAAUGACGAAGAUGAAGACGACGAUGAGGAUGGAGUCUGGCCGGCACACGUCAGGCUCCACGGAGUCUCCUCUGGGGGCUUCUCUAAUCGAUGAUGAGGUGCUCCCCGCCUUCCGAUCCAGUGUUCCUACUCAAGGGUCUCCUCUGGGCCGACGAGCGCCUCCGAUGGCUCAGCAUCUUCAAGUUCAUUUCUAUUGCUCUUGAUGUUCGGUGGAGAGGGGAGGAGAGCUUGGGGAGGGGGAGGAGGGAGUUGGUGUCGAGGUCAUCGGAGAGGAAGCAUAGGAGGCCAAUGAGGGAGAAACCAUAGGGGAGGAGGGAGAGGGGUAGUCGGAAGCAGGCAUAGGUGGCGAGAUUGAGAAGAACAAGGGCGGCGAGGGAGGAGGGGGCCCAGCAUCCGAGGUGGAGUAGAGGAGUAGGGACAAGACAUGAAAGAAAAGUUCAAUAGGUUCGGACUCGAUCGGGACCUGAAUUUUUUGGGUUGGGAUCGGGUUAUACAUGAACCCCAUCUAACCCAAAUGACCCGUUGGUUUAAACUCUCCCUUUCUUUUCUUUUUUCUUUUUUCCCACUUCUUCUUCUUUGCCGAAACAGGGGACCUUCUCCCCACAACUUGCAUCGAACCAAAUCUAUGCUGGAGUCCGUGGUGGCACCCCGGGUCAAAGGACUCACGAUUGCUACCACAGACAACAACCGAUGGCAGCCAACGACCAGCGGCGAGGAAGAAUGAACCAAAAUAGGGACCCUGUUUCGGACGGUUUCUUAGCGAUUCGCCAACCCAAAACUUGUCUAAACAUAGCUAGAGAGAGAGAGGAAGGAGAAAAAGACUUACCUCGGUCCGGCGGUGCUCCUUCCGGCGACAACUCGAGGAAGAUAAUCGGUGGAGAAGCUCGGAAUAGGGGCUCGAUCUCGGUGAACUCGAAGGAGGGAGGAGGAGCUAUGUAAAUCGAUAUUUCCAAACCUUAUCCGGCGGACUCCGGAUCGGGAUAGACUUCCGAUCCCAUCGCGAUCAGGGAGGAUUCCUCACUGCGAUCAAAAGGGAGAAGAAAAAAAGGACUACAGUGGGAGUCUUCCUCCCAUUUUUCCCUAACAUGCGCCGCACGUGAGGUUGGCCCAAACAUGGUUGGGCCGGUCAACUAGACCAGCCCAGUCCACCAGGUCUCAUAGAAUCCCACCUCCAUCGCUAACCCCACUGCUACCCUAGCCUCCUUUAAUGUUCCAGUGGCGACAUCACAUUAUUCUUGCUGCCAUCGGAUUCUAAGCCUGCGAUUGCUCCGCGUUUAUCCCAGUGUCGCUCAUAUACUUGAACCGAAGUUCGGCCAACUGGUUCUCAAAGGUGGGGUCGGCAGUGGGGGAUGCCGAAGUUUCAGCUAGAGCGGAGGAGGACUCGAGGAGUGCGCGAGCUUGAGAUCAAGCUUAAGCAUAUAAAGUUACAGCUUUGGUUAGGGCCAAAUGGGUAAAUAUUCAGGCUAGCCCAAUUAGGUUCUAUGCAGGCUUGGGCCCGACUUUUCUAAAAAUUUUCUGUUUGUAUUUGGAUUGGCCUACUGCUGACAUAGCGGGUCCAGUCCAAUCAAUAACUUCUCCUAUCCCACGUUCUUUAUUUGAAUCAGACGGUUAAACACGCCCGGAAGUUGGCCCACCCCGUCAAAGGGCCAACUAAAUGUUCGGUCUGGAUCCGGGUACCCAGUGCAAUACACCGCAAAGACUCCACCUGAGCGGUGAUAAUGAUGGUGACUCCUGUACCAGCAUCUCACCACGUGAUCUGCGGCAACCAUCCUCGCAUCGCCACCACAGCAUUCACACCCCCAAAUAUCUCCCGAGCGCCUUAAAGCCCGCACUUCCUCCCUACGACCAUUCACCGCUACCCCGCUCUCUCUCUCUCUCUCUUCGAAACCCUAGCUCCCUCGAUCUCCUCCUCUCCCUUGCGUUUCCCCCUGAGAUGCCGCCCCGUGCUGUGAAAAAGGUCGCCGCCAGGAGGCGGGCGAAGACUGCGGCGGUCUCGAAUUCCUCGCCGAGCGUCGUCGAGGACGAGGUGGUUCCGAUGGCGGAGGACCCACCUCCCUCCGCCGAGAAUAAUCUGGAGGCGGAUUCUGCUCCUGCUCUCACUGUAAAGGAGGAGGCGGUGGUGGAGGAAUAUGUCGCUCCACCGGCCGCCGUAGAAGAGGGGAAAGCCCCAAAAUUGGGGGCUCAGGAUGAAUUAGAUGCGGGGAAGGCCCCAGAAGAAGUAGUGAUGGAGAAGAUUGAGGAGGCGGAGGCCGUAGAAGGAGAAACUGUCGAGAGGGUUGAGGUAGAAGUAGCUGUAGAGAAGGUUGUUGAAGAAGUGGCAUUGGGGAAUGUUCAGGAUUCUCCAGGCAAUCAAGUGGAAGCUGGAGAACCUUUGAAAUUUCCCGGAGUUUCGACUGAGGCUAAGGGACCUGAUAAUGAUGGAGAGAACCAGAUGGAUGUAGAGGAAGGUAUGUGGUUGUCUAGCUUUCUCGCCAUCAAAUACAUGCACUUUAAGAUCUUGUUUCUAUUCAUGCAUGUGUGGACUGAAUAAGCCAAUGGAAUCAUUUCACUUAUGCCGGGAUUCUCUUUUAGAAGCAUAUGUUUAGUUCUGCAAAUUUCCUUCUGAACAGACCGUGUCCAUUUUUUUGAACAAGUUAAGGCUGUAAAUGUUAUUAUCAGCUGUGCAGGCUAUGAGCAAAAAGGAAAAUGAGGGAAAUGAAGGAAACUAAGAACUUAACAUAUCACCCACACGUCAUUUGUAUGGAGAAAAAAAUAUGUAAGGCAGGGAAUAAGGAGGUUAUAGUAUAUAUUGUCCUUCCGUCCAACACGGAAACAUCUUUCCAUCCCUCUUCCAUAUUCUUUGUAAUUAUUCAGUAUAAAAGACAAUAAUUUUCAUGGAGGACAUAACCAAAGAGAUAUGGAUGAUUAUGAGACUUGACUUUCCUAAGUUUGUAGAUGACCACUAUGAUCACCAGAACAACUUUUUGCAUACACCAUUACCUUGAUCGACGUUUUUCCCUAUGUCGUCACUUCCAGCUGCAGCUCUCAAACCAUUCCCUCCAUCACUGCUACCAUGAAUUUAUGCAUUGCCUGUGCCCCAUUACUACCAUCAAACUGACAACAUUUAUGUGAUAUAAGACUAUCAUUGCACCUACCUCCAUGUCACCUUCUUUGGUGCCGCCAACAUUGCUAUUGCUACAACCAUCUCGUUUUGGUGGUUUUACACCAAAAUAAUCAAUUCUGGAAACAUGUUUUUCACCAUUUUAAAGUGUAGUAUAUCAUUUUACCGUUUGAUGACAAUUUAAUUCUUGUUUUGUUGAGGGAUUGAAAAAAGUAGGAAUAGCUGUCCCUAACCCUUGACAUCUUCAAGAUCCCUCUAUUUUUAGGCUAAGGAAAAAUUGCAGUUUGAAUGGGAGUUGGUGGGAUUAACUCAAAAGGUAAUGUUUUUUGGUGGGUUUAUGAAAUAACCCAUCACUCUGGAUUUAUACUGCAACCAAACAUUGCCUUAGGUUAUGGCAACCUGCAUAUUCAUAAUUUUAACUUACAUCAGCCAAACUUGUAUAAAAAAUUUUACUUAUCGUUGAAAUUUCUUUCAGAUCCAAAUAUUAUGAAAACUCAUUAACCUCAAAACAAUGCAAUGUUUCCUAAUUUUGAUGAAACAUAAAAAUGACAAAAUAAGCACAUGUCAUCCAUAUACACGAGGCUUGGCUGAAACUCUAAAACUAAAUGUGGUUUCAGAUUGCUUAUUAUUGAAUUUGAGACAUAUGAGUAUUGGUAUUUGAUUAUUGACCGAGGCUUGGAUCUAUUUUGUUUAAAUUGCUGUUUCCUGAAGUUGGCUAGUCUUUGUUGCAAUUUGAUAUUUGUGUCUAAUUUACCAUUAGCUUCAAUUUGCUACUACUAUUCAGAUCUGAAGAGAAGUGGUUGUUCUAGAUAGUCCAUGCUUUGUCAAUUAUCAAGGGCUGACUAGCUGAGUCUUCAACUACCAAGAAUAUGAAUACAUUCCUGAGUUGGAAUUUCUUAGCCACAAUUUUCAAAAAUCUUUCAACCGAGAACUUCAUUCAUGAUACAUUGGAAUAUAAUUUUAUUUAUAGGCUGUCAAGCCAUGCAUAUAUAGCCAUUAACUUCUCUUAAACCAUUGCAAAAUGUUUCCUCAUAAGUUGAUCUAAUACGGCUGAUACUCUUAUAGCAAUCUAGUCCUUGUAUGUUGACCUACUUUUGGGCCUUUAUGAUAGCCAAGCUUGUUAUGAAUUUUGAACCAAAAUGAAUCAGCAAGCAUGUGCAUUGCAUGUGGUUGUACAAACAUAGAAAAAUUUAUGAAUUAUGAAAAUGUGCAUGUUAAUAUUGACUGUUUUAGAAAUUCAGUAAUUUAGUUUAGAUAUUUUUGUUCCAAGUUCACUCUAGAUAUUAAAAUAUCAAAAGUGAUAUGGCAAAUUUUUAUGACCAAAAGAAACGCAGAAUAGUGAUAGGAUGUAGGCCUCACAUGCAUGACACAACAAUAGAGGGACUGGAAGAUUCCACUCGGCCAACUCCUCAAAACCCAUGCUUCCAAUGUUUGAAACCCUAGCUGGGAGAAUUGUAGCUCUUAGGAAAGAACAACAUUCCAAGGAAGGUCUCUCAAAGACCCUUCAAGCCUUAGAACUAGAGGCUUCUUGGAGAAGCUUUUUCCAUCAACACUGCUUGUCCCUUUUCCAAAAAUCCCCACAAAAUAACUAAUAUUACAAAUAUAACAAAGAGAUCAUGACUCAAAAAAAGGGUGGUUGUUGGCGUUGUGCGGAAGCGUGUGGAUCCCUGAUAUCCGCUAACCUAGGGCGUCUCCUAGGGCGUCAGGCCGCGUGGGGAAAGAAGGAAGAAGAGAUGGAGGAUCACAAUCACAAACUAGGGUUUUCGUGGAGAAGAAGAGGAAGAGAAGAGAGAACAUGGGAGAAAGUUUUCUGGCGGCUUCUUUAUUGCUCAAGCAAUAAUCCAAGUGAUCCCUCUAAAACUGAUUACAUCAAGCCUUUAUAUAGGCACCCAAUUUUAGUCUAAUCAUACACCAUCUCAAUCUCCCCCUAAGCCACAUUAGAAAGCACUCAACCCAAGUCCAUGACUUACAUGGUCUCCGCUUUUGAGCCUAAACGUGGCUCAAGAAUGACUUAGACCCUUUGAGACUUAAAAAAUCUUGACUUGGCCCGCUUCACGUCUGAAAAUUCCGUGAAAACAGUGCUCGGGUUGACUCCUGCAGCCCUGGGGUCGACCCCUGAAGCUGCCCAGAAAACAGCUCUCAGAUUUUUUCCUGUCGCUCUUAAGGAGUCGACCCCUGAAGUCCUAGGGUUGACCCUACACUGUGCCAAGUCUUCACAGCAUGCCGGAGUCGACUCCAAGUCUCCCGGAGUCGACUCCAAUACUAUUCACAGCCCAGAAACUUGUUGUUUUUCUUUGGAUGCGCCACACUUGAGCCUACAAUAGUCUAGUGUGCAAGGUUUUUGCCUUUGCAGCCUUUAAAGGGUGAGCCUUGGCGCAAUUAGAAGGUUGCUCCACUGUGACCUGAAAGUCAUGGGUUUGAAACACAGAAACAACCUCUCUAGACAUGGAGCAAGGCUGCGUAUAUCUAACCUUCUCAAAAGGCCGUGACUCAAAAAUUUUUCCUAAAUAAGACUAGACCAGAACUGGAAUACCAAAAUCAUGAAAAAUACCCUUGGACUAGAUAGACGCUCAGAACACGCUAAAACUCUACUGACUCUUACAAUAAUAUUAGCAACUAUUUAUGCAUUUACUAUUACUAUUUUUCAUCAUUCAGUCAUUAUAAUCAUUGUUGGUGCUACUGGCUGAAAUAAGAGGAAGAAAAAAUAAUAUGUUGGUUUCACAAUGUUGUUGUUUGAAAGCAAUGAGGGGCGAUGUUCAGCCAACUGGAAUUUUCGUUCAAAACAUGUUGCACGAGACUCCUCCACUGGUGGGGAUGCGACCCAUGUAAGAAUCCUUGAGUUAAUGGUUGUAUGACCAUGAAAAAUUUGAUAUGGUUUUUUGCUUGGGCCACUGGCCCCAUCUUUCUAGCUUCCAGAAUUAUGUGCUGGUGAGGGAGGUGAUGAUCAAAAUGCUUUGUCCAGCCUCUUUAGUCAUAGGGAUAAAAAAUAAAAUGGACCUUUAGAAACAAAAAAGUCAAAGAUAGUUCAAACGAGUUUGCUAGGAUGGAGUUGGAGAUGGAUAAGUUCAGUUAAAGUUCUUAGAGUAUGCUGAGCAACUAAACAUGAUUUUUCCAUUAUACAUUUCAUCUGCCAUAAUAAUAGCCUUUUAAAGUACUAUCUGAAAAUUAAUGGCAACUCCGGAUGGAAUCAGUAGACCCAUGGACUCAUCUCAUUCCCAUUAUUUUCUAUGUGGCAUGGCAAUGAAUGAAAUGAAUUUAUUAAUAACGUGGUUGUUCAGUCACUUUUUCAAAACAUUGGGGAUCAAAUUUUCCUGUAUAGGAUACGUACGAUUUACUUGGACUGGUCUAGAGAAUAUUAUAUUUACAUGUAAUGCAAAUGAAUAGAACAAAUUAAAUAAAAUAAAAAUUUUAAAUAGUAGAAACUAAAAACAAAUAUAGACAUAUAUCAACAUUUAUGGAUUUUAAUGUGCAAUAUAUAAAAUGUAAUGCAGAAUAUUGAGAAAAUAAUAUGUUCAAAAAUAAAAUAAAACGUACAAAUUAGUAGUACAAAUCAGAAAAUAGAUAUGCAGAAACAAAAUGCAAAUAAAACAUGCUUUGCAUGAAAGAGAACAACAAAAAAAUGCAAAAUAAAGAUAAACAAAAAGUAAAAGUAACUAAAAAUGCAAAACUAAUUCUGUAAAACCAAAAAUAUGCUAUACACAUUAAAUCAGAAAGUACAUAAGUAGACUGAGGGAUGAAAAUUUCUUAUAAAAUUAAUAUAUGAUAGGUAUCCACCACCCUUGACAAAAUGAAAACCUUUUCUUUGAUUAGUAAUAUUUUGUACUUAAUUGCCAUUUUCCUGAUCAAUGCGCUAUUGAAUGAGUGUGAGUUGGUGUGAUGUUGAGAGUUGUGGAAUGCUGUGCUCAAAUAGGAAAGAGAUGAUUAUAUGGAAAAGUAAGUCAAGAGGGGGUCUUAUCAGGGCAUUUCUAUGUGAAUGUGUUGAGAGAGAGGGAGGAGAGGACGAGGAGGAAGGAUCAUAAAAGGAGAUUAGCAAGCAUGGUUGUUAGGAUAAUAGGGGGAAGAGAGAGAAGCAAGUUGUUGUUUGUUUAGGAGCUGAUUGUUUUGAUAAAAAAAUCAAACAAAGAGAAGGGGAGUGGGCAUGCACACAUGAUUUGAGGCAGAGAUAAUUGGAUAGGGGUAAAGACGCAGCCGGGCGCCGGCGGCUUGUUCAAGUGCCCCCCGAACUUUGACCAUCAAGUCGCUCCAAUGCCGUCAAGAAGAAGUCUGUCUCAAGUCAUGCACAAGAACAAAGAGCAUACCAGAAAUUUGUGCUUACUGCUCCCUGAUUCUACCAGAAAUUUUAUAAUAUAGGAACUUGUUAUGAGUAGAUUCAUUGGAUUAGUUCAUCAAUAACCUUAAGUCAGAAUCUUAUUUUCUUUUGACUCUGCACCAUUGAUUCCACUAUGAUUAUUGAUCAAUAAUCAAUAAUGAAAUAAAUUGAUCGAGACCAACUUCAGCCACUAUUGCUAGUGAUAAAGGUCAGAGAGAGGGGAUCUAAUCAUUUUUUGGUUCAUCAUGUGCAUAUCUUUAGAAAAGAGAAGAAGGUUGUGAAGAGGUCCGGGGUUAGGAUGUGGGUGAGAGAUCUUCAGGGCGCCAUAUUACAUGACAUGCAGAUAUUUCUUUCCAAAUUUACUCAUGGUUAGUCAUCAGAUAAUAAAUGAUUUUAUGCGAGCUAAUUUGCACAAAAAGGUUAAAUUUGGCAGACCGAAAGUCCGUUUUUUCUCACUCUUUUAAAUAUAAUAUGGAUGAGUACUGCUGCAUGCAGAAUGAAUAUUAAGGCAACAAAAUUGUUCUGCACAACAACUGAAUUUCAAAGAAUAUCUAGUAUUCUAGGAAGGGUUCUGACAUCAAGCUAAGGAAAAACUGUCAUCUACAAAGUUGCUCAUCUCCAAUUAAAGUCACAAUUGCAUGGCAUAACGUUGGUUUAUGUUGUGGUUUAAAAUUUACUGAAAAUUUAUUAUAUCUUUCAAUAAUGUUUUGGCCUUUUGGUCUGCAUUAUUGUAUGAAUAACUUAAACAGCUAACUCUUUAGCCACAUUUCAUUUUGUAUCCAACGAAUUCCUACAGGGUCAUUAGAAAGGCAUAGUUUUGGUCGAUCAAGAUAUAUAGUAUGAGGAAAGAAAUUAUGCAUGGUUCCAUUUCAUCUUUUAUAGUCAUUGUCUUUUUGAUCCCAAUGUGUUGGACAUGAGUAAAAAUGUUUUAGAAUUGUAGCCUUGCUUAACACUGAAAGCUAUUUCAAAACUAGAUUCAUUUGGCUCCAUUCAGAAAUAGAGAAUGGCACCCGGUGCGCAAGGCUCUUGCCAUUGUACGGUCUAAGGAGGUUCAGUAUAUGCAGCUCUACCUCUCGUGUGUGGAUAGGCUAUUUCUGUGUUUAGAAAAAGAGAGCUUUAAUUUAAUUUUAUCAUUGGAUCAGUUUUGGUGGUCAAUGCAGGAGUUGAAAGUAGUUCAAAGCAGUUGAUUUCUUGAGAUAUGCUGUUUUUGUAAUUCUAGUCUUUCUAUUUAUGUUCGUUGUCUUUUAACACUUAUCUUGAUUGGCAUUUGGGCUUAUGCGGUCCUUGCAAGGUUUUGGCAGGUGAAUGACCAUAGAUAACAUCCUGAACAUAUGUUUGUGCAGAAAAUAGAGAAGUAAACAGUAAAGUUUGUUUUCUGACACCAUUUUCUCAAUAGUAUAUAAAUGCUGUCCCAAGUUUUCAUUGGGCUUUUGGAAUUAGUGUCCUUUGAGUUCCUUUCUCAGCUUUAGGUGUUCAGUUCUUUUUAAAUUUUUUUAACUUCAGACUUUAACAAUCGUAUGCAUUGCUUGCAAGUACUUUAAUGCGGGGAUUGUCAAUUGCAGCAAGAAAUUUUGGAAGUGGGACAUCACACAUGACUUACAUAUUUGAUUUUGUUAAACUUAAAAUCAUCAGUGUAUGUCUUCCCUUCAUGCCAAUCAGGACUAGAAUGUGGAGGGCUUAUCUUAGGCUAUCAUUUGUAGAUCAUUUUAAGAAAUAAUGAGCAUAUAACCUAUGUAAUGCGUGAGGUACAGUUUUUCCCCCUUUUUUCAAUAUUCUUGAAAUACAAUAUAGCGUAAAAAUAUUAUUUCUCAAAGUAUACAAUCUCUUUAGGAGAAAAUAGAUGUAAAAAAUUGAACUUUGAAAAACCUAUUUAGUUAAAAAAUGAUGCAAAUGAAACCAACUAUUAUGACAUUAAAAAAUGUGUAAGAGAUUCAUUUAUCGAAAUAAGAAAUUUAUUUAUUAAGAGAUAAGGUAUUAAGACUUUAUAAACUUUUUAAGAGCAAUUUUUUAUUUUGAUAAAUAUGAUUAGUUCUUACCAAAAGUAGGAAGUUUGAUGAGUGACAAUAGUCAUUUUAGAUAUGUAUAAUAGACUGUCCAAAAAAGAAUCAUCUUAAAUAAGAACCCUACUUAUUAUGGUCCAAAAUCAAGAACCGUAUUAAAUAAGAGCCCUACUUAUUAUCCAAAAUAAAGAACUGUAUUGAUAAUAUUAUUAAUAUGGGCAUUCACAUGGAAAAUGGAGAGCUUAGGACAUGCUGGGCUUCCAUUUUAGUUAUAUAUAAUAGAUAAUGUGUUGUAAGAGAUUCAUUUAAAUUUAUUUAUCAAGAGUAAAGGUAUUUCGAUUAUAUAAACUUAUUAAGAGUAAAAAAAAUUAUGAUAAAUAUGAUCAGUUCUUAUCAAGAGUAAGGAGUUUGAUGAAUAAUUAUAGUCAUUAUAUAUAUAUAUAUGUAUAUAUAUGAUAUACUAUCCAAAAUAAAGAACUAUAUUAACUAAUACUUAUUACCGAAAUAAUGAAACAUAUUGAUAACAUUAUUAAUGCGGUCAAAAAUAAAGAGCUGUAUUAAAUAAGAGUCUACUUAUUAUCCGAAAUGAUAUUAUGAAUAUGAAUGUCCAUGUGAUGGCACAAGCUGAGCAUCUGUUUUAGUUAUUUAUAAUAGAUGUGAAAAGGGAACCAAGCUUUAGGUAGUAAGGACUCAGGAAUUUUGGAAAUUGACCUAAAAUAUAACUAGAAGAAUGGAGAAGUUAUUAAUGAUGAAAAUGAGAAAGCUAACAGGUCAAAUCCUCAUGUGAUCCUUCCAAGCAAGGAGUUAUUGGUAUACAUGCUUGUAGUGCUUCAUUAGAUGUGUUUAAAAACAGAAUUCCUGAGUAACCUUUCUGCGCGUCAUUACGGUUACCUGUUCACUAGUAAUCUGGUCGAAAAAGAUCCAAAAACUAGAACGUUCAGGGGUUUGUAGAGUCGGAUUGGUCUGAUCGUUUCUGAGUUGAGGGUCGCCUGAAAGAACCUUAUCUUGCUUAUCGCGAAAACGACGUCUGUUUCUGCUUCUCCUUUUUAUUAUGAAGUUCAGGCCCUUCACUAGUGAUUGUCUGUGGAUCUUUAAACAUUUCAGGUGCAUAAGGAUAUUGGAUUUUGUCAAGAUUGAAAUAAGAGUAGUUCUUCAUCUAAAAAGGUUGCUUAGGGUACCUGAACUUACUGACAGUGGGUCAUGUCCAAGGGGUUUGUUUUGAGGAUCAGGGUGAUAUGUGAAAUUUCUCCCAUUGGCUUUCAGUCAGAUGUCAACCAUUGAAUUGGUGGCAAGUACUAGGACAAUGCAUAUUGGACAAGAGAGGGGCUAACCAUGAAACUUAAAAGGCAUAUUGGCAGGUUAGACGAAAACAUUAGUGAUUUAAAAGGAUGAUCUGAUGGGUGAAAUUGAGAAACUCUUUGCAAGAGUGGAAGAUGCUUUAGACAAGCAAAAGGGAGGUACAUUGUGAGGCACCUUUUUUCCCGCAAGAUGCUGCAUGAUAAUGUUUGGAAGACAUUCUUGGGAUUUUAAGAUUUUUGUUUACGAGUCCAAAGUUUUGGCUUUCUGGGUUUCCCCUUUUUAUUAUCUUAAAAUUUUUAACAUGUUUCUUAUUUGAAUUGCAAUUUAACUGAUGGAAAGGCAAAUAUAUGGUAUAAAAAGAUAAGGCAUUGGCAGAGUUUCUGUACUAGAUUUUUAGGAUGUAAAUUUGUUUAUGCUCUCUUUCGUUUUUCGUUUUUUGUUUUGAGACUAGGAGGGGCCGAUCGCUGCCUUUUCCUACCCUAUACCUACACCACCCUUAGGGGUCGACUCCAACCAGAAUCGAAUCCCUGCCUUCUUGCCCAAGUGGCAAGUGGUGAUGCCAUCUGAGCAAGCACUCAGUGUUAACUUUUGCUUAUACUUUGGAAAUAAUGCGAGGAAGUUGUAUCACAGAUCUUUUAAUUAUGCAACUAACGCUUACAUUCAAGGCACAAAGCAACUAGGGGGAAUUCUUUUCUACACCUCAUAGUUUAUGAUAUGCAUGAACAGAUAACUGUCAUCCACAUUGUUGUUACCAAAAUGUGUAAUAUUUCACUGUUGUGUAAUGAGAUCAAUUACUAUUUGAAUAAAUCUUGUAUGAGCAUGUGCCUAUCUACUAUGUUGAUUCUGCCUUGUUUAGUUUCUUGUUUGAAUCUAAACCUGUUUGCUGGUGGUGAAGAUUAAACAUUGCUUAUACUGAAAUUUAAUUUCUUCCUUAGGUGCUGAAGUAGUUGAAGGGGAAGCCGUGGAAAGUGAGGUUGAAGGUGUUGAUGAAGAAAGGGAUGUUGGUGCUGGUAAAGAUGAAGGGGCUGAUGGGUUAGAUGACGCUGAUAACAGUGAAAGCUAUGAUGAUGGAGAAGAUAAUGAAGAAGUUGAGGAAGAAGAUCCCUCUUUAUAUAUGCAGGCAGACAAUGAAGAAAUUGAGGAGGAAGAUCCCUCUUUAUAUAUGCAGGACACUAUGACAGAGAGAAAAAAGCAGAAGGAAUUUGAGAUAUUUAUUGGUGGGUUAAAUAAAGAAGCUGUUGAGGAAGAUUUAAUGCAUGUCUUUGGUGUGUUUGGGGAGAUUCAGUCUGUUAGGAUAGUUAGAAAUCUAUCAACACAGAAAAGUAAGGGGUUUGCAUUUAUUCGUUACGCUAGUGUUGAGCAUGCGAAGAAGGCUCUUGCUGAGCUAAAAGAUGGGACAGAGGUUCAGUUUAAGUCUUUAAGGCUUUUAUAAAUAAUUUUGUUUUAUAUGCAGUCAACUUAGUGUACAAACUUUGACUUAUGGAUAUCGUUUUGUUAGGUGAGAGGGAAGCAGGUUGGAAUAUCAGCUAGUCAAUAUAAUGAUACCCUUUACCUGGGAAACAUCUGCAAGACUUGGACAAAAGAUCACGUACAGUAUUUCUUGUUCCCAUUUAUUUGUACCGUUUCACUUUUGCAACUUGUCCAACAUUUUUGGUUUUGAUGUGAAUUCACAUAGCAUUACUGAUUUGUUUAUUAUAGUGUUUUUUUAUUGCAGCGCAUCUACUUAACCAUCAUGCUUAUACUGUCUAAAUGGUGUGCUUCCAGGUGCUUGAGACAUUAAAAGGAUAUGGAAUUGAACAAGUAGAGCACAUACUCUUGCCUGAUGAUCCCAAUAAUGAAGGGAAAAUCAAAGGUUUUGCUUUCCUUGAAUUCAAUUCACAUUCUGAUGCAAUGGCAGCAUUUCAGCGGUUAAAAAAACCAGAUGCUGUAUUUGGCUGUGAUAGGAGUGCUAAAGUUGCUUUUGCACAAACUCCAAUGCAUCCAGCUGAGGAAAUUUUGUUACAGGUAAACAAUCUUUUUUGCUUGUAGGCAUGCAGACUUAUUGCAUUAGUUGUAAGACCAUGUUUUUCUUAGUGUGAAAUUUGGAUCAAUUCUAUCAACUUUUGUUGUUUCUUGGUGCUCCUGUGUAACUUGUACAAGUAGGGCAAGAUGUUUGUAUGAAUUUUGUGACUCGGAACCCUUAUGGUUAUGCACUGGCACAUCUGAAUGCAGAUGUCAUUGGAACCCAUAACAAUAGAGUAUUGUGAGACGUUGUUAUAGUAGAAAGGUUUUCUACUAUUAUCUCUGUAAUGGUAGUUAAAAUACCUACUGAUGGGAAAGGUUUUCUUGUCCUCUAUUUAAUAUAAUACUUGGAAAUAUGCAAGUUAAAUUGUAUAUGACUUGCUCCUGAGGUACCAAGCCAUCUGGAACAUGUAACUCAACAUAUUUUGCAUAUGUUUUAUAAAAUGUUGCUGAUAAGUUUUUUGCUUGAUAAAUAGAUUAUUUAGUCUGUCUGCAGGUUAAAACUGUAUUCAUUGAAAGUAUUCCAGUCUCUUGGGAUGAAGAAAAAAUCAAAGAACUUUGCAAACAAUUUGGUGAGGUAGAGAAAGUACAACUAUUUCGGAAGUUCACAACAAGUAAAAAGAAAGAUUUUGGGUUUAUUGAAUUUACUUCUCGAGAAAGUGCUGUAGCUUGUGUCGAAGGAAUAAACAGUGCUCAACUUGGAGAAGAUGAGGUCAAGGUAAGGUAUUUGAGAUCUCAUCUGAUGUUUCUGUUACUAAUCUUAGUGGAGUAACUUGGGUAUUGCAAGUUUCAGGUCAAAGCUAAUCUUGCUAAGCCUUUGAAUAAGAGAAGGCUUGCUAGGCAGCGUGCUCGAGGUGGAUUUAAGGUUAAGAAGAAUGAAGAAGUUUCUGAAGAGGCUGGCCAAUCUAAGAAGAAAAAACAUUCCAAGUCAAAAGAGGUUCUUGUCAAGGCAAAAACUCAACACAAAUUAAAAAAUGUUGAAGGGAGCAAGUCAUCUAAGUCCCAAGGCAUGGUUGCAAAGGGUAAACAUGGUCCUCAACUAGCACGGCCUGCUAAAGGUAAACGACGUGGUAGGAGGAGCAUGGACAAUGCCAUUAAUGACAGGCCAUCAAAGAAGGCACGUAAAAAUCGCAACUUUGGUAUGGUAAAGCUGGUUAUACUAUGUUGUCAUUUUUUUUUGUGUUUCCAGAUUUGAUAGAUGUGUGCUUAAGGUUAUGUUUGGUGUGUUUGGAGACAUGCAGGUAACUUGCAUGGUAGACCUUCUAAAGGCUUUGGCAACCAAAGGUACAGUUACUCAGGGCUACCGGAAGUAAACCCUGUCGUGCAACCUACCACCUAUGCUCCAAGAUAUGCACAAUCUGCAACUAGAUACCAGGCUUACACUUAUGCUGGACCUUCUGGUUCUAAAGCUCGUCAGUCUGAUCUGGUAAACAUGAACCUACCCCAAGCUCCUCCAGCACACACACACAGACACACCUCUUUCUCAGUUUUCUUCCAGAAUUCUAGGUUAAGCAUGUUGUUGGUUGGCGGUUCUUUUCAGGAACCUCAUGCUGGAUGUAUUCCUGCAGCAAAACCUGUUCAUUAUAGUUAUGGAUAUGAGCAAAGAAGGUAUGCCCUGUUUGUGCUUCCAGCAUAAUAAAUGUUUCACAAUGUCAAUUGCUUAUAUAUGUCUUUUGUUGUGUUUAACUAGGGUUGGUGCUUAUGAUAGCCAAGCAAGGAGUGGUUCUGACUUUGCUGGAGGUAGCAUCUGGCUCCUACGAACACAUCUUUUAAUUUGUAGCCAGUUUUUUUUUUAUGGUUUUAGCUCUUAACCAAUAUUAUACAAAUUUUUUUGAACUCCUGUUCAUCAUCAUCCAACCCUUUUCUAUCAUGGGUUUGGCCAUGGAGCUGAAUGUUUUGUAUGUUUUAUUCUAUUGCAGUAUGUCAUUACCUUUUCGUUGCUAUGUGAUUGUCAUUAGAGUUAAAAUCGGCUGCUUGCUUAGUACAUUAUCAUUAUGUCAAUUCAUCUAUGAUACAUAUAGCUCCUAUUCUGUUAAUUCAUUCGCAUUGUUUUGCAUUGCUAUUGUUUCUACAUAAUUAUGUCACUAACAAAAAGGAAUAUAAAGUUUGUUAUUCUCAUUAUAUUUAUGAUAUUAUGUGAUUACACUUCUAAUCUUUUCUUGUAAAGAUAUUAUUUAUAAAAAAAUGUAUCCUAAUCCAGUGAUUUUUAAUAUAAACCAAAGCAAUAACCAGGAAAUGUUGUCUCAACUGUUUAGGGCCACCUUUAUGAAUCCUUGUUCACUUAGAAUUGCUAUUGAGGGCUGGAUUUUCUCAAAAUGUUCAUUCAUGUUACAUUUGGUGUUUGUCUCCUUUUCCUACAUCCUUCAACAAAGAUUAAAUCUUUUCUCACUAGAGCCCUCUUUAAAUCUCUAUUGUGCAUGUUUAUACCAUGUCAAAUUGAUUCUUCAUCAUUUUGUCCUUAAUUUAUGCAACUCAGACAACUCUAAUAUAUCUAUUUCUAACUGUAUCAUUCUUUGUCUUACCACAUAUCCAUUUCAACGUCCUCUUUUUUUUGUGCUAGAUUUUACUCAAUUUCUUGGACGCUUUUUGUUAUAACAUCUUGCACCAUGUUACAUUGUAGAUGAAUGUCUUGAGCCGUAUGACAUCAUGGAUGUGAAUGCCAUUUGAUAAGUUUUUGCCUCUAAGUUGCCAAGAUAUUAUUGAUUAGAACAUACCAUAGAAGCAUCUUUCCGUGCCAUCCAAGGAGCAUUGAUGCUAUUGCAUGUGUUCAUGUAUCUCUUCAUUAGUUUGUGUAAUAAAUUAUGAAUAACAAAACACUCAAUUCUGUAGCAUCUCUUAAUUUCGAUCUUGAAUUGAGCUUCAUUAUUCUAAGAUUUACUUUGAUAGCUUCAUUAAUAUUUAAUCUUGUCUGUUUUCUGAUCAAUGAAGACUAUAUUUGCUGCAAAUAUGUCACAGUAAUUUUUCAUAGAAAUAAGGGUAAAUUCCUAUAUGUUUUAGUAUAAAAAGAUAAUGCUUUAUGCUUAUCCUUGGUGUAAAGUUAUUGUGAUUGAGAUGUAUUUCUUGUGCCAAAACCAAUUUAAGCACUUGCCCUUACUUGGGUAUACAUGUGAAUAAUUUUAAUGUAUAGCCUAUGUACGUCUUUCCUUCUUAGAUUCACCAAGUUACCUUUCUUGUAACCUUAAAGUAAACCUUUCCAUAUUUUUCUAUUAAUUGCCUAUGAAGGCAGCCAGCAUUGUAAGCUUCUGGCCUUAAACCAAAUUGGUUCUUUGAUGUUGUUAGGGGCAGAUUUAGGGGAUCCAAGAGUCUAGUGGGUCAUGGCUUCCCUGCCUCAUGUGGCUGUCCUACAAAAGGCUCCCUUUUUAGUUGCAAAACCAUCUAAUGGUCCAUGUUUCUUGGUGGGAAAGAAGAUUGCUAUUCCAAGACUCUAGAAUCAUAGUAUCAAUCUUGGGAUGUCUAUGACUCCACAUUGAUUUCCCAUGGUAGCCUACCCGGUUUCCUAUCCAAUCUGGUGCCCAUAUUAGGGUGGGGCUCCUUGUAUCCCAGUUCUAUAAGGAUUAGGAAAUCAUAAACAACAAACCCAACAGCUCUAUGUUUUCUUUGCAAAAUUGCUUGCUUCCUCUCAGUACUGACAAAGGUCUAAGACUCAACUCUCAGUCCUUACGACAAAAAAANAAAAAAAAAAAAAAACAAAGCUCAAGACUACUCUUGGUUAUGAUAAAGUGGAUCAUGUCCAUUGCUUUUUGUCUUUCCCUCGGGGUCACCUUCAUGCAUAAACUCCAAGGGUUUUUUUUCUGAUAAGUUCUUGUUGUUGAUGGAUUGGCUGCUCAAAUCUACAUCAUAAAAUUCCUUUUAUGGUUAUCAACUUGGUGACCUGCUACUCGGGGGAAUAGGUAAAUACAUCCUUAGUUUCUAUUGUUCAUCAU
Molecule: long non-coding RNA, 42602 nt
Filed under: Phoenix dactylifera (date palm)
Lineage: Eukaryota; Viridiplantae; Streptophyta; Magnoliopsida; Arecales; Arecaceae
Description: long non-coding RNA (PDAC_LNC003183)
Source: RNAcentral